AUGGAUGCUGCUCUGCACAUUGUCCCGGGUUGGCAGAGGGGUUUUGUGACCCGGCCAGGGAGGCUGAUUCUGGUAAAUCAGGUCAUGAGGGCUAGGCCGACGCACCAUCUGAUUGUUGCCGAGGCACCUAAAUGGGCAUUGGAGCGGUUGGACAAAGGGUGCUGUGCAUUCUUCUGGGCUGGUUCUGAGGAAAUCCAUGGUGGCAGGUGUUUAGUGUCUUGGAAACGUGUAUGCAGACCAAAGGAGCUCGGUGGUCUGGGGGUCAUCGACUUACACAAGCAAGGGAUCGCGCUCCGGAUGUGGUGGGAAUGGCUGUCCAGGACUGAUGCCACGCGGCCGUGGCAGGGACUAAACUGGACUCUUGACAAGCAAGCAAGCGCAGCGUUUGCUAGCCUUGUGAAAUGGCAGGUUGGCGAGGGUUCCAAGGUCAUGUUCUGGAAGGAUCGGUGGAUCGGUGGGCUACGAUCGGUGAGCUGGCACCACUUAUUUACAAACGGGUCUGAACACAAGUGGUGA
RNAcentral lists this ribosomal RNA (516 nucleotides) under Triticum aestivum (bread wheat). RNAcentral's name for it is "partial small subunit ribosomal RNA". Lineage: Eukaryota; Viridiplantae; Streptophyta; Magnoliopsida; Poales; Poaceae. The record is from RNAcentral.